UCAAGUGAAUAAGUGCAUCAGGCGGAUGCCUUGGCGAUGAUAGGCGACGAAGGACGUGUAAGCCUGCGAAAAGCGCGGGGGAGCUGGCAAUAAAGCUAUGAUUCCGCGAUGUCCGAAUGGGGAAACCCACUGCAUUCUGUGCAGUAUCCUAAGUUGAAUACAUAGGCUUAGAGAAGCGAACCCGGAGAACUGAACCAUCUAAGUACCCGGAGGAAAGAAAUCAACCGAGAUUCCGCAAGUAGUGGCGAGCGAACGCGGAGGAGCCUGUACGUAAUAACUGUCGAGAUAGAAGAACAAGCUGGGAAGCUUGACCAUAGCGGGUGACAGUCCCGUAUUCGAAAUCUCAACAGCGGUACUAAGCGUACGAAAAGUAGGGCGGGACACGUGAAAUCCUGUCUGAAUAUGGGGGACCAUCCUCCAAGGCUAAAUACUCAUCAUCGACCGAUAGUGAACCAGUACCGUGAGGGAAAGGCGAAAAGAACCCGGGAGGGGAGUGAAACAGAACCUGAAACCUGAUGCAUACAAACAGUGGGAGCGCCCUAGUGGUGUGACUGCGUACCUUUUGUAUAAUGGGUCAACGACUUACAUUCAGUAGCGAGCUUAACCGGAUAGGGGAGGCGUAGGGAAACCGAGUCUUAAUAGGGCGAUGAGUUGCUGGGUGUAGACCCGAAACCGAGUGAUCUAUCCAUGGCCAGGUUGAAGGUGCCGUAACAGGUACUGGAGGACCGAACCCACGCAUGUUGCAAAAUGCGGGGAUGAGCUGUGGGUAGGGGUGAAAGGCUAAACAAACUCGGAGAUAGCUGGUUCUCCCCGAAAACUAUUUAGGUAGUGCCUCGAGCAAGACACUGAUGGGGUAAAGCACUGUUAUGGCUAGGGGGUUAUUGCAACUUACCAACCCAUGGCAAACUCAGAAUACCAUCAAGUGGUUCCUCGGGAGACAGACAGCGGGUGCUAACGUCCGUUGUCAAGAGGGAAACAACCCAGACCGCCGGCUAAGGUCCCAAAUGAUAGAUUAAGUGGUAAACGAAGUGGGAAGGCACAGACAGCCAGGAUGUUGGCUUAGAAGCAGCCAUCAUUUAAAGAAAGCGUAAUAGCUCACUGGUCGAGUCGUCCUGCGCGGAAGAUGUAACGGGGCUCAAAUCUAUAACCGAAGCUGCGGAUGCCGGUUUACCGGCAUGGUAGGGGAGCGUUCUGUAGGCUGAUGAAGGUGCAUUGUAAAGUGUGCUGGAGGUAUCAGAAGUGCGAAUGUUGACAUGAGUAGCGAUAAAGCGGGUGAAAAGCCCGCUCGCCGAAAGCCCAAGGUUUCCUACGCAACGUUCAUCGGCGUAGGGUAAGUCGGCCCUAAGGCGAGGCAGAAAUGCGUAGUCGAUGGGAAACAGGUUAAUAUUCCUGUACUUGAUUCAAAUGCGAUGUGGGACGGAGAAGGUUAGGUUGGCAAGCUGUUGGAAUAGCUUGUUUAAGCCGGUAGGUGGAAGACUUAGGCAAAUCCGGGUUUCUUAACACCGAGAAGUGAUGACGAGUGUCUACGGACACGAAGCAACCGAUACCACGCUUCCAGGAAAAGCCACUAAGCUUCAGUUUGAAUCGAACCGUACCGCAAACCGACACAGGUGGGUAGGAUGAGAAUUCUAAGGCGCUUGAGAGAACUCGGGAGAAGGAACUCGGCAAAUUGAUACCGUAACUUCGGGAGAAGGUAUGCCCUCUAAGGUUAAGGACUUGCUCCGUAAGCCCCGGAGGGUCGCAGAGAAUAGGUGGCUGCGACUGUUUAUUAAAACACAGCACUCUGCCAACACGAAAGUGGACGUAUAGGGUGUGACGCCUGCCCGGUGCCGGAAGGUUAAUUGAAGAUGUGCAAGCAUCGGAUCGAAGCCCCGGUAAACGGCGGCCGUAACUAUAACGGUCCUAAGGUAGCGAAAUUCCUUGUCGGGUAAGUUCCGACCCGCACGAAUGGCGUAACGAUGGCCACACUGUCUCCUCCCGAGACUCAGCGAAGUUGAAGUGGUUGUGAAGAUGCAAUCUACCCGCUGCUAGACGGAAAGACCCCGUGAACCUUUACUGUAGCUUUGCAUUGGACUUUGAAGUCACUUGUGUAGGAUAGGUGGGAGGCUUGGAAGCAGAGACGCCAGUCUCUGUGGAGUCGUCCUUGAAAUACCACCCUGGUGUCUUUGAGGUUCUAACCCAGACCCGUCAUCCGGGUCGGGGACCGUGCAUGGUAGGCAGUUUGACUGGGGCGGUCUCCUCCCAAAGCGUAACGGAGGAGUUCGAAGGUUACCUAGGUCCGGUCGGAAAUCGGACUGAUAGUGCAAUGGCAAAAGGUAGCUUAACUGCGAGACCGACAAGUCGGGCAGGUGCGAAAGCAGGACAUAGUGAUCCGGUGGUUCUGUAUGGAAGGGCCAUCGCUCAACGGAUAAAAGGUACUCCGGGGAUAACAGGCUGAUUCCGCCCAAGAGUUCAUAUCGACGGCGGAGUUUGGCACCUCGAUGUCGGCUCAUCACAUCCUGGGGCUGUAGUCGGUCCCAAGGGUAUGGCUGUUCGCCAUUUAAAGUGGUACGUGAGCUGGGUUUAAAACGUCGUGAGACAGUUUGGUCCCUAUCUGCAGUGGGCGUUGGAAGUUUGACGGGGGCUGCUCCUAGUACGAGAGGACCGGAGUGGACGAACCUCUGGUGUACCGGUUGUAACGCCAGUUGCAUAGCCGGGUAGCUAAGUUCGGAAGAGAUAAGCGCUGAAAGCAUCUAAGCGCGAAACUCGCCUGAAGAUGAGACUUCCCUUGCGGUUUAACCGCACUAAAGGGUCGUUCGAGACCAGGACGUUGAUAGGUGGGGUGUGGAAGCGCGGUAACGCGUGAAGCUAACCCAUACUAAUUGCCCGUGAGGCUUGACUCU
Molecule: ribosomal RNA, 2882 nt
Filed under: Neisseria gonorrhoeae
Lineage: Bacteria; Pseudomonadati; Pseudomonadota; Betaproteobacteria; Neisseriales; Neisseriaceae
Description: bacterial LSU rRNA
Rfam family: Bacterial large subunit ribosomal RNA
Source: RNAcentral